GGGUUGUGAGGUUAAGCGACUAAGCGUACACGGUGGAUGCCCUGGCAGUCAGAGGCGAUGAAGGGCGUGCUAAUCUGCGAUAAGCGCCGGUAAGGUGAUAUGAACCGUUAUAACCGGCGAUACCCGAAUGGGGAAACCCAGUGUGAUUCGUCACACUAUCAUUAACUGAAUCCAUAGGUUAAUGAGGCGAACCGGGGGAACUGAAACAUCUAAGUACCCCGA
RNAcentral lists this ribosomal RNA (222 nucleotides) under Salmonella enterica subsp. enterica serovar Muenchen. Its description in RNAcentral is "partial 23S ribosomal RNA". It matches the Rfam family "Bacterial large subunit ribosomal RNA", at positions 1 to 214 of the family's 2925-position model. RNAcentral also lists the same sequence under 4 other names. Lineage: Bacteria; Pseudomonadati; Pseudomonadota; Gammaproteobacteria; Enterobacterales; Enterobacteriaceae. The record is from RNAcentral.